Bactrocera oleae (olive fruit fly) is the source of this 1051-nucleotide non-coding RNA. NCBI's taxonomy places the organism in Eukaryota, Metazoa, Arthropoda, Insecta, Diptera, Tephritidae. The record is from RefSeq and is a predicted model, not a curated record.
GGCUUUGGUUUAAGUGGUUGCCAUACAAUGUAAAAAAGUAAGUCCUGUUUAUUUUUAGUAAACAUUUUAUUAGGCGCAAUUAAAUGCAAAUUUCAAUAUUUUGCCUUAUACGUACAGAUGUAUAUAUUCGUAAUAAGCCUCAUAAAAAAUGUUUGCAAAUCGGUUAUUCCAUUUACUCCGAUAAUUUCAGAGAAUGUUUAUUUACCACAGAUUUUUAAGCACAAUUUACCACAUAAAAUGUGUUGCUGUAAAUGUUGGUUUUACAAAAUAAUACCAAAUAAUUAUUGUUAUUGCUUACACCCACUGAACUGUGUGUAAAUAGAGACGCGACUGACGCCAAAGCGAAUGCAUGCAAUUGGGUGGCAACUUUAAAGCGUUGAUGACAACACAUUCUUCCUUUGUGGAUACAAAGCAGGGCAAAUUAUUAAGCGCUGGAAGAUUCCUACAAACAUAGAUAUACAAAGGAACCAUGAAUAAGUGGCGUAACGUGGUAUAAUAACAUAAAUGUGUAUAUUCCUGAUUUAAGAGAAGAACUGAUCAUUUGCAGCUUUGCUUCGUUUUUGCGCACGCUAAAACAGUGCCACACCCAACCGGAAAGGAACGACCAAUGCACAAAUAUUAAAUAUUAACGAUUAGUAUUUACAUACAUCUCGAAGAAUUGACGUUGGUUUGCCAGACAAAUAUGAACAAAGUUUAUAUAAAUACAAGUUCUAAUAGGCGCGAAAGAACUGUUUAUAUUUAUUUAGCAAAGUGACUUAUAGAGCAUGUUUUAUUGACCAUGCUCGUUGUCAUGCAUUACUGGUCGAGAGUCUCUCUGUGCGGAAGAGUAUUCACAAUCAUCAUAUUUCCAUGUUGCAUCUGAGCCCUUGUGUAAUUAACAUAAUAAGUUAUAAUACUAAGUUUUCAAAAAUUAAUAUUGCUUAAAGGAAGCAUUUUUCGGUUGUGUGAAUUCUAGAAAAAUUUGCUGAACUAGAGAUAUGAGAAUUGCCAAUUUUAUACAACAAAUAAAUGAAUUACGAUACAUGCAUCAAAACUCUUCUGAAUUUCUUAC